UGUGGUUUCACAGUCAUUUUAGUGCCCCGUGGUUCAAAGUGUAUUAAUUUCACUAAUUUUUUUAUUAUCAAUUUUAUUAUUUUUUUUGUUAAAUUUAUGAUAAAGUUAAAAUUAAGAGAUACUAAAGUGAAUAUUCGAUAAAUCUAAAUGAACUAUCUGAAGUGUUUUGUAUAUAAUUUAACAAAAUAUUAACGAAAAAACUGACGAAAAGAUAAAAAUGAAACUACAAGACACUAACUUAAUACACUUUAAACCGUAGGGUACUAAAGUGAGAAAGUACGAAACUACAGGGGUGGUGUUUGAAGUUUACCCUAAUUAAAAUUAAAAUUAAAAUUUUGGUUCAUUUCUUUUAGAAUUAAUUUCAUACAAAUCGCUACAAAUAUAAUAUUCUAUGAAAUUCAAUUUUCAUGUAUUGUUCUUAUAAAAAGUCUAAUAUUUUAAAUAUAUCCAUUUGAUUUGUUACCGUCAAAAUAAUAUUUAUUUAUAAAUAAAAUGACCUUUUUACCAUUAUAAAUAUAUCGCUCUAAAAUUCCAACUAUUAAUUAAAGAAGGGUAAGAAGGUCAAUCCACUUAAUUAAUUAAUUCGGAUUAAGUGUUUUAUCUAUGAUUAAUUAAUAUUUUCUAGUGGACCCUAACGGUCU
Molecule: long non-coding RNA, 641 nt
Filed under: Ananas comosus (pineapple)
Lineage: Eukaryota; Viridiplantae; Streptophyta; Magnoliopsida; Poales; Bromeliaceae
Description: long non-coding RNA (ACOM_LNC012371)
Source: RNAcentral